Molecule: ribosomal RNA, 650 nt
Filed under: Gigartinales sp. ARS-2011
Lineage: Eukaryota; Rhodophyta; Florideophyceae; Gigartinales
Description: eukaryotic LSU rRNA
Rfam family: Eukaryotic large subunit ribosomal RNA
Source: RNAcentral
GAAUCCGCUAAGGAGUGUGUAACAACUCACCUGCCGAAUGAAUUAGCCCUGAAAAUGGAUGGCGCUCAAGCGGGUGGCCGACACCAUGCCGUCUGGGCAAUGUGACUCCCAGAUGAGUAGGAGGGCGUGGCGGCCGUGUCGAAGCGUGCGUGCAGACGUUUGUGGAACGGCCGCUAGUGCAGAUCUUGGUGGUAGUAGCAAGUAUUCAAGCGAGAUCCUUGAAGGGCGAAGCGGGGAAGGGUUCCACGCGAACAUUGAUUGGGCGUGGGUGAGUCGUUCCUAAGCCGAGUGGCAAUUGCUAAGUAGCGGCGAAAGGGAAGCGGGUUGACAUUCCCGCACACGGAUGUGGAGGCGGCGACGCACUUUUUUGUUUGGGGCGAACACGCUGGCGACGGCGCUGGGCAGAGUUGUCUUUUCUGUUUGACCGUUCAGCGCGCGCUGUGUGGAAUCCGCUUGUCGGGAGAAACACGCGUGUGCGGGCAGAGCGCCGGGGCUUUUCCGGCGUCCAGCUCGCCGUCGACGGCCCUUGAAACUUUGCCUGCUGGAAAAUUUUUUUAAGAUCCACGCCGUGGCGUACCGAUCACCGCAUCAGGUCCCCGAGGUGAACAGCCUCUGCUCUAUAUGAAUAAUGCAGGUAAGGGAAGUCGGCA